Molecule: small RNA, 86 nt
Filed under: Pseudomonas rhizosphaerae
Lineage: Bacteria; Pseudomonadati; Pseudomonadota; Gammaproteobacteria; Pseudomonadales; Pseudomonadaceae
Source: RNAcentral
GUCGCUGCAAAAUCAGCGACCGGGUUUGGUCGCCCGAGUAGAUAAAGGCGCUACAGCGCCCCAUCACGAUUGCAGGCGCUUUUUUU